CCUACGGGUAGCAGCAGUGGGGGAUAUUGCACAAUGGGGGAAACCCUGAUGCAGCGACGCCGCGUGUGGGAAGACGGUCCUCUGGAUUGUAAACCACUGUCCCCAGGGACGAAGAUGACGGUACCUGGGGCGGAAGAUCCGGCAAACUACGUGCCAGCAGCCGCGGUAAUACGUAGGGAGCGAGGGUUGUCCGGAAGUACUGGGUGGAAAGGGAGCGUAGGCGGGGAUGAAAGUUGGGUGUCAAAACUACCGGCUCAACUGGUAGUUGCACUCAAAACUGCAGCUCUUGAGUGAAGUAGAGGCAGGCGGAAUUCCUAGUGUAGCGGUGAAAUGCGUAGAUAUUAGGAGGAACACCAGUGGCGAAGGCGGCCUGCUGGGCUUUUACUGACGCUGAGGCUCGAAAGUGUGGGGAGCAAACAGGAUUAGAUACCCUGGUAGUC
RNAcentral lists this ribosomal RNA (440 nucleotides) under uncultured bacterium. Its description in RNAcentral is "partial 16S ribosomal RNA". It matches the Rfam family "Bacterial small subunit ribosomal RNA", at positions 338 to 795 of the family's 1533-position model. The record is from RNAcentral.